Molecule: long non-coding RNA, 1020 nt
Filed under: Parus major (Great Tit)
Lineage: Eukaryota; Metazoa; Chordata; Aves; Passeriformes; Paridae
Description: lncRNA (ENSPMJG00000004985.1)
Source: RNAcentral
CUAAGUGUUUUCUCUAAAUAGUUUUAAGUGUUUAAAAGAAUAUGUAAUUUUAUACUUCCUAAGCCCCUUUCUGUCAGAGCAUAAGAAGUCCACAGAGAUUAAGGAUUCAAUUUAAAAGUAAUCAAAUACUCAUUUUUCCUAUGAAUAUUGAGACCAUUGACUUGCCAGAACUCACACCUGAAUCUGUCAAAUCCUGGGGGCUUUCCCAUAAUUUUCCCUCCAUCUCUGUUCAUUCACAGACUGGUUUUUUCAAGCUCUGACUGCCUGGUGUAACCCAAAAACUCUGGAGCAGAAGCAAAGCUUUCAAGAGCAGCAGGAAAACUGUUCCCAGCCCUGAAUUUCUCCAUCCCUCUGCAGCCCUCAAAGGCAAAUGUGAAUUCUGAGAGUCAGGAGCAGCAUUUUCUGUCUGGAAAAGGCUCUGGAGGCUCCAGACGAAGCUGUACCGCAGAGCUGAUGCUGCACUUUGUCACCUGCUGUGUCCCCAAGCCACGUUCAGCUUCUUCUGCUCUACAGCUGGAGACUUCCCUUUGUAGAAACAAAGACAUUGUGGGACAACAAACUGAGAAAUGAUUUGUUCAGACCAUCCAAUCUGACCUCUAAAUAGCACAGCCAACCCUUUUACCUCAACGCUGCAGAUCUAAACCUGAUCUUUCCCAAAAAUGCCUGGUGUUAUCUUAGAGAAAUCAAGGAAUUAAACACCUUUAAGAAGCCCCAACAAAUUAACAACCAACAAAUUCUGCUGCUGAGACUGCAAACCUUUACAGUCCCCUCCCCCUAAAACAUUUUAAGUUUCUUAUAGAGUUCUGCAGAGAUAUUUUUGUUAGAUUUCCAAUCAAAUUUAUAUUAAAGUGAGCACUUCUUCUCUUUCUAGAUCUCAUCCUGUAAUAAUUUCUACUGCUCUGAGAAAUUCUUCUGCUGUUUUUAAUCUUUCCUCUCCUCUCUCAGAGGAAACCUUCUCUGCCCUGUUCUUACUCUCUUGCUCACUCACCUUUCUUUAAAUAAACAUUUGCGUUCCAUUUC